Molecule: non-coding RNA, 111 nt
Filed under: Caldalkalibacillus thermarum
Lineage: Bacteria; Bacillati; Bacillota; Bacilli; Caryophanales; Bacillaceae
Also listed under: 1 other name
Description: SAM-I sequence
Rfam family: SAM riboswitch aptamer (S box leader)
About the family: The SAM riboswitch is found upstream of a number of genes which code for proteins involved in methionine or cysteine biosynthesis in Gram-positive bacteria.
Source: RNAcentral
CUCUUAUCAAGAGAGGCGGAGGGACUGGCCCGAUGAAGCCCGGCAACCGCCAGCUCAGGCUGGAAAGGUGCCAAUUCCUGCGAAGAUGGUUCCAUCUUCGAGAGAUAAGAG